CCUCGGUCACCCCAAUCACCAGGCAGAUUUGAGAGCUUGAUGCAAACUGGAUGAGGCUUUAUUGUUUUUUUUAACAAGCUAACCCCGUGUUAGCUUGGGUCUUUCACCCACCCACCAUGGUGGAUGGCUAGCAAAGACCCCUUGAACCGGCUGCGGAGUGAUCUUGCAGGGCAGCGUAAGGGGAGUGUCUAGGGGUACGCACAGGCUCAGGAUUGGUGUGCCUCCAGGCUUGGAGGGCUUGCCCUGUGUUGAUUGGCCAAUUGAUUGUAAUGGCCCAUAGGCCCUCCCAGGGUGGUUGCUAUGCUCUGCGCAUCAUUGCUGUGCUCUUGUCCAUAAAGCACACCCAGAGUCGUAAAGCAUAGUGCCACCAGCUAACUUCUGAUUGGUUCCUUGUCAUGAAGCAGGCACCUAACCUCUAGUGACUAAGGCAAGGUCAUAGCGAGCACGUGUUACUGUCAUGGCUGCCAAAAUGGGGGGCUGUUCCCUUCAUUCCACAUCCUCCCUGCCUCUCUAACCUCCCAACUUUACAUUUGUUCUCUUUAAAAAAGACACACACACACACACACACACACACACACACACACACACACACUAUAGGAACCAGAACAAACUCAGUAAACAAAAAUCAAAGCAGAAAAUCUAAAGAAAGAGAAAAAUCAAUAAAACAAAAUAAGAAAGGAAAAGAAAAUGCAUUAUAAACUUAAAUACUCUGUUUUGUGUUGACCAACUACUCCUGGGGGUGGUCCUGCCCUUGAGUGUGGUUGAUAAACCCAAUGUCACUGCAUUUGAGAAAAGUGAUUUUUUUUUUCCUAUUCCAGAGGAUGUAAACUGGAAAUAGCUUCUUGGUUAGGCAUGGAACUUUGUAUCUACUUCCCCUUCUCAGUCCUGGGAUUUUGUCUGGUUUGAGUCUGUGCAGGUGUCCCAUUUGCUGUCUCAGCCUCUGUUAGUUCAUAUGUGUAUCUGCCUAGUGAUAUCUGGAAGAUGCUGUUUUCCUGGGGUCAUUCACUACCUCUAGCUAUUCAGAUCUUUCUACCUCCCAUUCUGCAUCCUAUUCUGUAGGCUACCAUGUUGCUGGGAUGACACUAUACUUUGCUGUUUAAAAAUAUAGCCCAUGGAGGCUUGAGAUGAAGGUGGCUCAAUAUUUAAGAGCACUGACUGCUCUACCAGAGGACCAGGGUUCAUUUCCCAGCACCCACAUGCCAACUAACAACUUUCUUUAUAACUCCAACAUCUGAUAGCCUCACACAGACAUACACACAGGCAAAACAACAAUGCACAUAAAAUGAAAUAAAUUAUAAGAAAUAUAGCUCAUGUAUAUAGACAGACAGAAGUGUGAGAUAUUUAAAUUGUUGGUGAAAAAAAGAACAACAAAAAACUUAAAAUUCUGUAACCAGCAAAAUAAGAUUAAAGUAAAGCUCAGCCUGUUGGUACAGGUCUGAAUUUCUAAUUACUCUGAGGC
RNAcentral lists this long non-coding RNA (1459 nucleotides) under Cricetulus griseus (Chinese hamster). RNAcentral describes it as "lncRNA (ENSCGRG00015029996.1)". Lineage: Eukaryota; Metazoa; Chordata; Mammalia; Rodentia; Cricetidae. The record is from RNAcentral.